AGAGUUUGAUCCUGGCUCAGAACGAACGCUGGCGGCGUGCCUAACACAUGCAAGUCGAGCGAGAAAGGGGCUUCGGCCCUGAGUAAAGUGGCGCACGGGUGAGUAACACGUGGGUAACCUGCCUCUGAGAUUGGGAUAACCUGUCGAAAGACGGGCUAAUACCAAAUAAGACCACGACUUCCUCGGGAGUUGAGGUCAAAGGUAGCCUCUAUUUAUAAGCUAUCGCUCGGAGAUGGGCCCGCGCACCAUUAGCUAGUUGGUGGGGUAAUGGCCUACCAAGGCAAAGAUGGUUAGCUGGUCUGAGAGGAUGAUCAGCCACACUGGAACUGAGACACGGCCCAGACUCCUACGGGAGGCAGCAGUGGGGAAUAUUGGACAAUGGGCGCAAGCCUGAUCCAGCCAUGCCGCGUGAGUGAAGAAGGCCCUAGGGUUGUAAAGCUCUUUCAGCGGGGACGAUAAUGACGGUACCCGCAGAAGAAGCCCCGGCUAACUUCGUGCCAGCAGCCGCGGUAAUACGAAGGGGGCUAGCGUUGUUCGGAAUUACUGGGCGUAAAGCGCGCGUAGGCGGAUAUUUAAGUCAGGGGUGAAAUCCCAGGGCUCAACCCUGGAACUGCCUUUGAUACUGGAUGUCUGGAGUUCGGGAGAGGUGAGUGGAAUUCCGAGUGUAGAGGUGAAAUUCGUAGAUAUUCGGAGGAACACCAGAAGCGAAGGCGGCCAUCUGGCCCGGCACUGACGCUGAGGCGCGAAAGCGUGGGGAGCGAACAGGAUUAGAUACCCCCGUAGUCC
RNAcentral lists this ribosomal RNA (786 nucleotides) under uncultured Hyphomicrobiales bacterium. RNAcentral's name for it is "bacterial SSU rRNA". It matches the Rfam family "Bacterial small subunit ribosomal RNA", at positions 8 to 796 of the family's 1533-position model. The record is from RNAcentral. Lineage: Bacteria; Pseudomonadati; Pseudomonadota; Alphaproteobacteria; Hyphomicrobiales.